This is a long non-coding RNA of Oryctolagus cuniculus (rabbit), 18224 nucleotides long. RefSeq lists it as uncharacterized. The record is from RefSeq and is a predicted model, not a curated record. Lineage: Eukaryota; Metazoa; Chordata; Mammalia; Lagomorpha; Leporidae.
GUGGGGAGGCGUUGAGGAUCGCGCGGUGGGCGUGGCCUCUGUGGCCCCGGCCGUUUUUGGCGGUUUGAGGGUCGCUGUGCAGGCCCCGAGUUGCGAGCGCUCUGGGAUUUCUGCUGCCCUGGGAAUGAAUGAGUCCAGGGCUGCUGGCUGAGUUGAGCAGAAGUUUGUGCUUCGUGGAGGGGCUCCCACUAGGGGUGAGGGGACCCUAGAGACGCUGGGGGUAGAAUAUCAGGAAGACGGGGCUGUGCCUGGGACACGGGUGGCGUCCGUUCCCGUGCACUAGGACGGACGUCUUAAAAGAGAAGGCCACCUCCCCAGGUUCCUGGGGCUGCCGGAGACGCCAGUGGAGAGCAGCGUUGGCCAUGCAGGCGUCCUUCGUGUCCAUUCUCUGUCACAUUGCUGAACUGCUGCGCUCUGAGUGUUUACAGCUGGUAAUGGAGUGAACCAAGGCCUUCAGCAACCAGGCGGUCAACCAAAUGCUACUACAGGAAUGUGCUUGGCUCCCCACCCAGGAGACAGCAGCUUAAGGCAUUGCCCCAUGGCAGCGAAGAGUGCCUCGUUGCCCCACGUCACCAGGGGUGGCUCUGAAGACGAAUUGUCAUCCCUCUGCCCCUCUUGGACUUCUGGGACUGAUGUGGUGGGCUGUGCUCCACUCUGGGAAAAAAUGCUGCUUUUACGCUUGAUCACUCGGGCCUUAAAAGAUAACAUGGCUGGCUAAAGUCAGGGAGGGGCUGGCAAAACAAAAAAGAGAACCGGAGGUCUCUCAGGGGUGGUUUGAGUCUUGGUUCAAUUCUUCUCCGUGGCAAGUCACCCUACUAUCAAGACUCAUAGGGGCCCUUGUUCUCCUGAUUUUAAUUUUAACCUUCGGCCCUUGCAUUGUUAACAAACUUGUGCAGUUUAUAAAAAAAAAAAAAAAAUUGGACACUGUUCAAUUAAUACUCCAACAGUCCCAAUAUAAACCCUUAAAUGAAAUGUCAGUCCAAAAUCCAUGAUUGGGUUUUUCAAACAUGUACAAAAACAAGGGGGGAAUGAAGAGCCAAAGUGACUCCAUUUUAAAACAGUAAAAAAAGCAGCCUCUGUUUUCCAUAGCAGACCCAAGUCCUUGUAAAAGCAGGCAUUCAGGCAUUCCGGAGAUAUCAAAGCUUACCAGGGAUAGCUAGCUCGGUACCAAGGACAGCACAGUAGAGAAUGCUAAACAAAGUACCUCCCUGUACCCAAAGCUCCCGUGCUGUAAGCCCCCACUGAUGUAACUCUUUUUUCCUGCUGAUGUAGCCCUUUUUUCCUUUAAAAACUCUCCCAAACAAAGACUGGGGCUUCACUCCUUCCUCCGCUGUGUCGGUUGGUUGGAUGGGGUCCCUGUCACGGCUUGUACUCCCGAAUAAACCUUGCUUUUGCAGUUCAGGGUGAUCAACUCUCUGGGGGUCUCUGCGGGGAUCUAACGAUCUGGGCACAACAGCAGAAGUUUCUGAAUUUGAUAUAAUCCCAUUUGUCUACUUCUGUUUUCAUUGCCUGUACUUCUGGGGUCCUAUCCAAUAAGCCUACACUAUUGUCUUGAAUUAUCUUCUUUGUUUCCUUCUAAUAAUUUCAUAGUUCCAGAUCUUACAUUUAGAUCUUUGAUCCAUCUUUAGUUGAUUUUUAUAGUUGAUGAAAGAGACCUUCUAUCCACUGGUACACUCCUCCAAAUGAUCAGGAGCCUGAACUACCUCCAUGGCAGAGGUCCAACCACUUGGGCCAUCUUCUGCUGCUUUCCCAGGUACAUUAGCAGAGACUUGGAUCAGAAGUGGAGUAUCCGUCACUUGAACCAGUGCUCAUAUGGGUUGCUAGACAAUGGCUUAACCUGCUCUGCCACAAUGCCAGCCUCCUCCUCACCUUCCCAGCCCUGUCCAGCUCCAGGGCUUCUCCAUGUCCACCACCUCCUCUUUCUCCUGGGGUGCACCUCCCCUUCCCUUUCCUCACUCCCACCCUGCUGAACACACACACACACACACACACACAUCAGAUGACAGGAAUGGGCUAACGCAGUCCUAGAAGAAGAAGAAUCUAUUUCUCUCAGGUCAGAAGCCCUUGGGGUGUUUGUUGGUGAAACUGAGUGAAGUGAUGAACUCUGCUGGUGCUAGACAUCCAGGCUCAGUGGCUGAGGGUCCCCAGGCAGUCCUCAGGCCUGGGCAAAACUGGCUAAUCCAAGACGGUUCCAUACCUGGGCUGACCAAAAUAAACGAGCUCCAGUUCCAAGAAGCUAAAAUGCCUAGCAACCUCCAAACCAGAGGGAACACUUUGCAAGCCCAGUGCUAUGAGGAAGGAUCACAGCACCUCCAUGUGGUGAUGGCAGCAGAACCGGGGUCCUCUGGCUGGGGCAGGACCCGAGAAAACCAGCCAAGCACUCCUUUUAUACAGAGGCGCACCAGGUCCUAACCACUCACGAAGAGAUGGCCCCUUCCUGUCUGCCUGGCAGCUUGAGGAACUUCAGUGUCUCAGACUCUGAUCCCCCACCCUGGGGAUACUGCUGACUCCUGCAUUCCAGGGGUCUCUGUGCCUCUCGGUGUUGAAUUAUCCUCAUGCAGUGCAUGAAGAGCCGCCACGUCUAGGCAGGCAGGAUGUGGAGAGCUGCCAGGUUCAAGGGGAAAACCACAUGACAUUUUCAGCUUCAAUCAAGGACAGAGUCCGGUAUUGUGAUUUGGAUUCUGACUGCUCCUGCCGUGUCCCUGCGUAUCACACUACAAUAAUGUGGCACACCACUCGUGACCUUCAGGGGUGUGGUCAAGAGCAGGUUGUUUGGCUGAAGUAGACCCCAGAGUUCUCUCCUGGACUUGUCCUUCGUGGCAAGGCUUGUGGUUCUCUGUCUCAUGCAGGGCAGCAAGAGACACCUCUUCACAUUGGGUAGCCUGAUCUAACUGCAGGAUGAUGGCUUAAAUCACAGUCACUGAUAAAAACCUUUCACACCCUUCAAGAGGUACAGGUCACAGUGUCCCCCAGGACCCUGGAACCGAGCACCUUCUUGCACUGAGCAAAGCUGGGGUGCCUCUUAGGUGCCAGUCCUCAGGGACUCACAGUGAGUGCAAGGUGUGAAGUGCAGUGAAGAAAGGCAGAUGAAAGCAGACUUCAGUACACAGGGCCACGUGUCACUGCAGCACCAAGGAAUGGGCAAAAAGGGUCUUGCUGAGCCUUCAGAAACUGAGUGUCUUUGUCUCAGCUUCGGGUAUCAACCCCCAAAUUUGUGCAAAGACAACACUUGAUAUCUAGCACCUUUGGAUUUUGAAUGUUUUUUUCCAGUGGAAGCUGGAGGGGUGGGGAAGCAUUUUUCAAACCCACAGAAAGAACUGUUGACUCUACAGUAUUUCUUGCACUGUAAUCAGUGAGUAUGUGGUAAUUUGGAGAAACUUUGGUGGCUCAAACCCACUGUAGGACAUUCCAGUCCUCAUCGAGAAUCUUUCUUUUUCAUUACACACUUCAGAAUCACCGUUCACAUCCAUAGUGUACUAUAUACCUCAAAAGUCUUCCAACUUCUACCUGUUACUCAGAUCUGAAGCUGCUUCCAUAUUUGUAAGAAUUCAUCAGACCCUCAUGUCUUGGGACCACAAUCUGUGGCAGUCAAGACUCUGCAAGGACUUACAGGAUAUGGACAGCUAUCCAUCAACAUCUGUGAAGGAUGGGUUCCGGGACCCCUUGCAGACACCAAAAUCAGUGAUGCUCAAGUCUUGUACGUAAAAUGGUGUAGUUUUUGAAUUUUACCUAUAUAUUCCCCCAUAUGCUUUCAGCCAUCAUUAGCUUACUUAUAAUACUUAAUAUAAAUACAAUGCAAAUGAUGUACUGUGUGUAGAAUGGUUGCAAGAGGAAAAAGUUUAUACAUGUUCAGUACAGAUGCAUUUUUUGAAAUGUUUUUAAUUAACAGUGGAAUCUGCAGAUGUGGACCCAGGGAUAACCAAGGGCUGACCAUAUGUAAAAGACAGAAAUGUGUCAUGUGUUCAUGGAGGCUAAGAAGUCCAGGAGCUGCUGGCAGAGAGUGGGAGAGAUGGUGUGUGGUUCUAGGUCAAGUCCAAAAUGCAGGAAGGGCCAAAAUCCAUCCCAGUUAGGCAGAAGGACUUUCCUCUAUCUGGGAGUGAAUCUGCAUAUGGACUAUAUCUCACCUCUACCUCUACCUCUUCUCUGUAUUCCACCUUUCAAAUAAAUUAAUUUAAAAAAAACUCCCAUUGGUGGGCAUUGUGGCACACUGGGUUAUGCCACCACUUAUGACCCUGGCAUUCCAUAUCAGAGUGCCUGGUUCAAGACCCAGAUGCUUGCUUCCAGUCCAGCAUUCCUGCUAAUUAUGGGAGGCAGCAGAAGAUGGUUCAAGUUCUUGGAUCCCUGUCACCUGUGUGAGAGAACCAGAGAGAGUUCCUGGAUGCAGAACUUCAGCUUGGUCCAGCCCUGGCUUGCAGGCAUUUAAGAAGUGAAUCAUACAUAGAAGGCUCUCUCUCUCACUUCUUCCUUCCCUGUUUCCCCCACCCCACCCCUGCCCUGUCUGCCUCCCCUCAUCUUUGCCUUUAAAAAGAUAAAUAAAUCUUUAAAAGAUUGAUAAACCCAAUAUUAGAUGUUUGACAAGUUACUUAUAAUGGAUUAUAACAUUGAAAUUUAAAAUUCCAAGUAAUAGAGAAAAAAUUAAUUGAUAGAUAUUAAAACCAAAUUUGGUAUAAAUUACAUUUUGGUCAAGAAUUUAACUUUUUAACUACAAAAUGCCAACAUCCACAAAUAUUCAAAAGAAUUGGAUUAGAAAUCAGUGUAUAACAUGAAUAUAAUAAUUGGUAUAAGCAGGGAUGGUUAAUGCAUGGUAAAAUUUUAAGCCCAUCACAAACAGUAUAUUUUUACAUUCUCAAAUUAUUAUUCUUUAAAGUUCGUUUUUCAACUCUGAAAUUUUAUUUUCUGACAUUUUUCAUGUUUACAAAACAAAACUAAAAGCAGAUAUCAAAGGCUUUGUGGAGGGGCCAACACUGUGGCAUGGCAAAUAAGGCCACCCCCUGCAGUGCCAGCAUCCCAUAGGGUACCAGUUCAAGUUCCGGUUGCUCCACUUCCAAUCCAGCUCUCUGCAAUGGCCUGGGAAAGCAAUGUAAGAUGGCCCAAGUCCUUGGGCCCCUGCACCUGCGUGGGAGACCCAGAAGAAGCUCCUGGCUCCUGACUUUGGAUCAGACCAUUGCAGCCAUUUAGGGAGUGAACUAGCAGAUGGAAGACCUCUCUAUAUAUAUCUCUGUCUGUAACUCUGCCUUUCAAAUAAAUAAAAUAAAUCUUUAAAAAAAAAAGACUCUGGAAUUUCUGGACCAAUUUUCAUCUAAGUCGGUGAUGAUGAAACAAUAGGAAAGGUAGAAAAUAACUAGACACAGGAUGAUUUCACUCUUGGUCAUGUAUGACUAGGUGGAUUAUUUUGGAGCUACUAAAUAACUUUUUAUAAGCACUGGCCAUUUUGAGAACCAAUUUGGUUUGUCCAACAAAGUAAACAAAUUUUGUUUUGCUCUGUGGCUUUUUUUUAAAGAUCUAUUUAUUUAUUUGAAAGGUAGAGUUACAGAGAAAGGGAGAAGGAGAGAGAGAGAGAGAGAGAGAGCGAGCAUCCAUCCGCUGGUUCAUUCCUCAAAUGGCCACAACAGCCAGAGCUGGGCCAGUCUGAAGCCGGGAGCCAGGAGCUUCUUCUGGGUCUCCCAUGCUAGUGCAAGGGCCCAAGCACUUGACUCAUUUUCCACUGCUUUCCCAGGUGCAUCAGCAGGGAGUUGGAUCAGAAGUGGAGCAGCUGGGACUCGAACUGGCACCCAUAGGGGAUACCAGAGCUGAAAGUAAAGAGAAGAUCAUUUCAUUCAGAGGCUGCCAAGAAUCUCCAUGAUGUUACAGUUUCUGCAUCCUCCCUGAUUGAGUUUUCUCAGAGACCUAUUACUGGAACAAAAGUUGAUGUUCUUGCCACACAGGCUCUGAUACUUUAUAGGUAGGUUUAUACUGAGCAAGACUCCUUAUUCUGGUGCCCAGGAAGAAGCUGAGCAGCCACGAUUCUUGAUUCUUGGAAGCAGAGAAGCUGAGUGCACUGACACAGCCAUGAGCAGAGCAGCAGCCUCGAGUCUGCAGUCUGGUCAAGGUGCGCCCCCACCACGUGCCCGUAAUCACCGUUCGCCUAAAUAAGGGAAGUGUGAUCCAGGUUUGCAAUGUUAGUAGCUAUCAUCUCAAAUUUAUUAUGAAGAUAACUUCCUGAUGAGCUAUGAACUAGGAAACUGGCCUCAAAUUCUGAUCACAUCCUCCAGUGUUAGUGUAAAAAUAAUAUAAAACAAAAUCUUGCCAAUUAGGGGUUAAAAGUACACAAUGAAACCUGAACGUGAUCCACGUACAGGCUGGCGAUCACAUCACUGAAAGGGCGCUGAGAGGAGGCAACCCUUGUCCUGAAACAAAACUCCCUCCCUAUUUUCUGAAUUUUCAUGAAAGGAAAACUGGUGGAUAAUUUUCUUCUUUACAGAUAUGAAAAAGGAAGCAAGAAAGCUAAGGGAGACAAACGGGUGCUACCACAGCAGUGGCAUUUGGUGGUUUUGUUCUUUGUACCAGCAACACCUACGACAGCAACAGGCAUGCAACUACUGCAGAGGGCACAGCUUUCCUUGCCCUGGACACAGGAACGAGAAAGCCUACCCCUCCAGCAGCCAGAGCCCUCUCCUGCCCCUGCAGUAACCCCCCCUCUGCUGCUCUGGGUUCUGGGCGCCUUGAAAAUGUCCUGCAGAGCACCACCACCACCACCACCAACGCCGCCCCAUUCUCCCCAGAGACUUGGCAGCCCGUGCAGUAUCCUUAGCUGUGCAGAGCUGAGCGCCUUGGUGACAGGGCUACCGACAAGACCCCCCUGCCUGGCUCUGGUGUUUCGGGGAUGUUCAGGGCCGCCUGGAGAGCAGCUGUCCUGUGUCCUGUCCUCAGGCAGGAGUGCACCUCGCCUGCUCUCCUGGAGCCCCGCCCGGCCGUCACUGCUGUCCUCCUCAUCCAUCAACUUGAUCUCAUCCUACCCAUCCACACCCACCUCCCAGAACUGCUCCCACCAAACCCUGUUUUUCCAUAUCCCCACCUCAGGCCAGGACUCGGCCUCCUGGGGAGCAGCCAGGAACUCAGGGAGAGCCACUGCCCACUCACUUCCCGCUUCAGCUCUGGGGCACCACCUGCUCCGGAGUUCUUAAUAAUCAGAGAGAACAACGCGCCUCCACAAUGGACAGAUCCAGCAGGCAGCUCAUCUACAGCUGACCCACCCUAAAGCCAGGGCGACUGGCAGGCACACAGGACGUCCUUGGCCUGCAGAGGGCACGCGGCAGGAAGCACCCAGCAGGCCCUGCGUGGCUCAGUGGAGCAGCUGAACUUCAUCCUGAGGCAAUCACCAGGUAACUUCAGCACACAGGCCACUGAGCCAGACCCCGCCCAGCAUCCGCAGACCAGUCAGCAUGCACCACCCCCCAGACCACAAAACAUGAGAUGUUUGCAGCUCAAAAGCAGCAAAGAAGCAGAUCCUUUUAAUCACCUUUACCCCAAAUGUCUCUCCUUCUCAAUGUUGUCUUAUCUGUGGGAACACUGACCGUGGGAGGAGACGGGUCAGCUGUCCGGCUCAGUGGAGCGCCCGUGCAGGAGUCAGAUCAUCCCGAGGGUUACACCGAGGCUGACCCUCAUCAGCAGGAGCGCUAGUGGCAGACCGCCCACACCUAGCACAGCCCGCCCGUGGCCUCGGGCGUCUGGGUUCAUCCGCGGUCUCUUCCUGCUCCUCAGUCCCCGGGUCUCUGCAGGAGGCAGGUGACAGGGCAAGGUGAGAGUCUCUCUGUAAUGUCUCUGCAUUCAGGCCUUGGUCUCUGUGGGUGUUUACCCAGUCAGAGGCUGAAAGACAGUCACAGCUCUCAUCCCCCAGCCUCCCGUGGUGGAAACCAUCAAGAGUGGUUCAUGGUGGUCAAAGUCCUCUCUCCGUGCUCUGUCUGGGAUUUACCCCGAGCUGCGGUUUGAGCUACUUUUUCUUACAUAAAUCGGCGCUAUCUUUCUACGCUUCCAGCAGCAGUGGCACCUAAGAGAGGGAGAGAAGAAAAUGAAUGGGUCAGGUCCUGCUGAGAGCUGAUGCAGCCAAUGCUCCAAGGUUACAGAGCCCAGAGAGAGACUGAGCUCCUGCAGAGAGGAAGGGCUGAUGAAAGGCACAACUGACCUGACCUGAGCUGACAGCCCAGCCUGUGGGGCAGAGUUAGGGCCCUCGGCCUUCCCAAACCAGGGUGGGUGCUCUCACCCAAGUUCUCCUGACCCCUUUGGCCUUUCGCACCUGCUUGUGAUGGUCUUAGCUUCCAUCUAGCUGACUUUGCUACAGGAAGGAGGGGACUCCACACAGAGACAGUUCUGUCAUAGUUCUAUGGCUCCAUAGUCCUUCUAACCCCAGGUGCUUGUCAGAGGAAUUCUUUUAAAGGGCCAAUGCCUGAAUCCCACCUUUCCAAUGUAAAUCAUACUUUUUAGUGCUGGUCAGAGUCCCUGCUGACUCAGAGCUCACCCAGUGUUAACUCUGAGACUGCUCAGUUGACCUGCCCUAUGUCCCACCAUACCUGUUGCAUUCCCCCUCUCUCCUAGCAUGCGUCUCCUUCCCCCUGGCCUUGAAGAAUCAGUCUUCUCUCUGACAUUGUCAUGUAAUCACUCCCUUUCUUGAAACUCUACUAGGUUCCUUGAUUCUGAUUCAACUGAGUCCAUUAUUCUAGAUUCUUCACUGAACAUACAGAAGUGCUCUUAGGACUUAAAUAUGGAGGCCAGAAUUGCUCAGCACACAAUGCCCUGUGCCCUUUGAAAUCUUGGCCUCUCUGUGUACGUGGAGCUGACUUCCCUUUAGAGUGCCACCUGGUCCUCCCGAUCCUACUCCUACUCCUCCUACACCAGCUCAAAUGAGCCCAUGAGGUGCAGGUGCUGAGUCAAGUGAAGCCCCUGGCAGUUUAGCACAGGUGUACAUUUCUGGGAAGAAAAAACUACUCCAGACCAAUAGAGAUCUCUCCCCUGUGGCCCACGUUCCAGUUCAUUUUUGGAAUCAGAGUUUUCCUCCUCAGUUUUAGCACUUCCAAUUCACAUGUGGAAAUAAAGGGUGUAGGAUUGCAUGAGGCUCUCAGAAGGACACUGGAGAAGAUUCAUGUCCAAAUGACUUAUGAAGACAGGGCUCCCAGAAGAAGCAGGCAUCGGAUGGAUUGGGGAAGCAGGAAAUGGGAAACAAGGAAGCCAAGAAAGGUGUGUGUGCUUUCAGGCAAGCUCCCAGAAAUCACACCAAGGAUAUGGGGCUGGGUUUGCUGUGGACUGAUAAAGAAGAUGGGGUGGCAGCAGGGAGAGCCCAGCAGUGCUGAGAGUGCAAACAGGUGACAGACAGGACAGGGUGGUGGCUGCGGGCAGUGGAGGUAACACCUGAUAGAGGUCCCAUCCACCAUGGGAGAGAAGAAGCCUGGUGACAGAAUAAGCUAGAAGGCCAAGUAGGGAGUAAUAAGGAACAAAGGCAGCAAAGAUGAACAGACGUGACUACCUCUCCAUCCUAGCCUUGAAGGCUGCAGUAUCCGCAUGAGAUCCCCCUGGGGCUAGACUGCAGUAUUCUUGAUAUUCUGUUGGCCAUGGAAUCUGCAUGCCAGUUCCCAUGUGCUGAGCUCUGGCUUUGUCUCGUUAACCUGCUGACCAGAGAAUCUGCAUGCGAGUUUCUACUUGCUGGAGUGUGGUUUUCCUUUCAUGAUACUCAUGCCAGGGAAUUUGCAUGCGAGUUUCCCCCUGCUGCCCUGCGGUUUUCCUUUGGUAAACUGUGCUUCAGGGCACUUGGGACUUCGAAGUGGCCGGACAUGAGGUUUCCCCUUAUCCAUGGCCGGAACUUCGGGGCACUCCCUGUAGCUGGGGAGGGUUCCUCAUCCCUCGAGGAGCAUGCAGACUCAGCGCUGAUAACAGAAGGACAGUCAGCAGUAUCCGCUCGUGUCCACACUCUCUCUGUGAUCUUCUUUCCCACUAGUGUGGACCCAUGCCUACUGUUUGGUCUUUGUACCAGCAACUCCUACAUCAUGAACAUACAAAAGUGCUCUUAGGACUGAAAUAUGGAGGCCAGAAUUGCUCAGCACAUAAUGUCCUGUGCCCUUGGAAAUCUUGGCCUCUCUGUCUACUUGGAACUCAAUUUCUUUCUAUAGUGCUACCAAGUCCUCCAGGUAACCUCAGCUUGAAUGAGCCCAUGAGGUGCAGAUGCUGAGGCAGCAGAAACCCUUUGCAGUUUAGCACAGGUGUAUAUUUCUUGGGAGGAAGAAAAAAAACUACUCCAGGCCAAUAGAAAUCUCGCACCUGUGAUCCAGUGCAGGGUCUUAGUCCACCCGAACGAGGAUGGACUGGGUCUGAGGAAAGGUAAAUGCGCUGCUCGCCUGUUCCCCAGCCUCACUUUUUCCCAGAGACAAUCAGACGUCUUGGGGAGUUGAGUCAAGCAGGAACUUGUUUAUUAUUGUGCUGUAAGCCUCUCUUAAAGCAAAAAAUCACAGAGGUAUAGGAGAGGGGAAGAGAAGCCAGCCAGUUGUUUUAAAGAUUACCCUAUCAUGCACUCGGUUUCUAUAGGGUCCAAGCACUAACGUCAUCUCUCCUGAUGCCUGUGCCCAAUCAAGUUUUCUUGUAAACAACCCAGACUCCACUCAUCUAACUUCCUCUUGGCACCACCUUUGCCACCCUCAUGCCCCGCAAUCCAGGUCCCAGUUCACUUUUUUACAUCAGAGCUCUCUCUCAGUUUUAGCACUUCCAAUUCACGUGUGGAAGAGCGUAGGACUGGCUUAGUCACACUCCCCAACAGUAGACCCAAGGAGAUCCAUGUGCAAGUGAUUUACGAAAGGUAUACUCACAAGGAAGAAGUGGGUUUGCAGAAGCAGGGAAGGGGAUGCAAGAAAGCCUACAAUGUGUGUGCUUCUAGGCAAAUUUCCAUGUGUUUAGCAGCGGAAGGAUGACCUUUAGAUCCUAUGAAGACUGUGGAGCUGGGUUUUGAUGUGGCUAUGAUAAGGAAGACUGGGACACGUGCAGUGGGAGUAGAGCAAAGCUCAGACUGCAAACAGGUGAUGGACGUGGAAACACCUGGCCUGUGGGAACCAAGACCAGAGGUUACACAGCUGCUGGCCUGUGGGAGAAUGUUUUAUGGUCUCAUGUAGAGAAUACUAGGGAACAAGUGUAUCUAAGAGGAAGGCAUGAUUACUUCUGUAUCGUAGGGUUGAAGGCCAGGGAAACCUGCAUGCUAGUUUCCAUUUGCUGUACUGCAGUUUUCCAGUGCUGGGGCGUGGGUUUCCUUUGAUAAUCUCCUCACUAGGGAGUCUGCCUGGCUGUUACCACUGGCUGGACUGUGGUUUUCCUUUGAUAAUCUUCUGUUUCUGGGCACCUGGGACAUUGAUGUGGCCGAUUACUUGAUGCUCGUGUAUGUUGGUGGCUGACUCUUCACAAGCAUUGUCCUCCAGCUAGGUAGGGUUCUUCAUUACAUGGUGACAAUCAAACCUAGCUCUAAAAAUGAAACCACAACCAUCAGGAUCAAUAUUUAUACCUAAUAUCUCUAUGACGUCCUGUCCAAAUAAGGAAAGUGACCUGGAGUAAGAAAGUCCAAAGAAUAAGAUGACGUCUACAGGGAUACUAAGAUAUUUUCAUUUUGGUUGAUUUUUAUACAUAUUAUAUAAUGAUAAAUGUAUAAAAAUCAAACAACUGAAGGGAAAAGAACUGAAGAAGAUUAACACUGUAGAUUACCAAGUCUUUCAUAAGCACAGAUAUAUUUCAUAUAUACAUAAUACACACUAUAUUUAAUAUAUACCAAGUACAUAUGUUGUAUGUGACAUGGUUUAACUGCAUGUGUUCAUGUAUUUAUCUAAUUGAAGCAGUUACUACUUUGGGAAUUGGAGGAUGUUAUAUAAAAUGUUAUCAUCAUUCUUCUGGUCAGCUGGAGUGGGAGCAGUUUUUCAGGCACCUGAAGAAUGAGAGAGAGAAGCCGUCGUGAGAAACAAAUGUGCUACCAGAUGCCAGGGAGAAAUUCCAGGGUAGAGCUGGAGAAUGAAUGAUGAGCUAUGAAAGCACCCUGGUCUGCAAAACCUCACUGGGAGCCUGGCUUCAUGCUCAGGCCUCCUUGGAGUGAGCAGGGGCAGCAUUCUGGGCCAGGGCAGCUAGGACUGUGGGAGUCCAAGGAGAAGGAGAGGAGACCAGGGGAGGAGAGAGGACUGAACACCACAGGUUAUCACGACUGUGUCAGGGGCCUUGCACCCCCGUACCCCAAUGUUAACUUUCCAGGACACCUAUUCAAGGUGCUGGGUGGUGCUUAUUACCUGCUAGGACCCCCGCCUCUUCCUGAGAACACGGGUCUCCUCAUUUCUCAGAGGAGAGCAUUGCCUGACACGAGCCCCAGCCAGCCCCAGGAACUCCAGGAGGAGAAACUGAGAGUGGUGGAGAAAAGGAUGAAUGAACCCAGCUGGAACGGUUGGGAUUCUGCCGAUCUGAGCAGAGCCAGAUCUCUAUGGGGAAGGAACACAGGACAGGGCCAUGGAGAUGAGUAUCACUCAUGAAUCCCAUGAAGAGCCACAAGACAGCUAGUUCGUGGGACGACUGCCCCUUAUUUCACAACAGUGGGAGCUGUGGGCCCAGGUUGUGCACAUUCCUGAACGUGCCUGCAACAGUGCCCAUGAAGGUUCCUAAUGAUGGCACUGGCCUACGAGGGAUGUCUAAGGACAGGAAGCAGCAAAUCAGAUCUUCUGCAUGAGCGAAGGAAGACAGCUCCCUAAAACUCAGAGAUCUUAAAAGUUGUUCUGCAUCAGAUGAAAUAUAUCAUAUGAAGUCACUUUCUAAGGGUAACUCACCGGAACAAGCAAAGGAUCAGAAAACGGAUAUUCAGAAUUGUUUAUUGAACAAUUUAUGACUGGAUUGGGUACUCUGGAAAUGAUCAUAAUGAAUGCUCUGGACAGCGAUUAGAUGCAUGCAGAUUUUCUUUUUCUAGUCUCCCAGAGGAAGGAAUUCAUAUGUAAAUACAUAAGAAGAAAAAAUACCGUGGCUAUGGUAAACAGCCAAGAGAUGGUAAACUCAGAAUCUGUCACCAUGGCUCUGGUUCCACUUUUUUGGCAGUGGCACCAGAGUGUCAUGGUAAUAUCCAGGAAAAGAAAGACAGUAAAAGUUGGAAUCACAAACUGGAUUCAUGAUUUGAAUACAAUCAGAAUUUCUCUAUGGUUCCAUUCCAUGUCAGUGACAUCUCUCAGUGCAGUUUGGGGUGAGGAGUGCAAGGAUGUUUCUGGAUACUUAGGACACCCUUGGGAGCUUUGUCACCUUCACACUGUGUACUCACUGUCUACAUCGCCUUCCAGGGAACACUGCUGUUCCUUCAUUGAAUAAGCAGCUGGUAUAUGGUUGGUAGGCAUCAGACAGCCCAGGACAGACUGUAUGCAAUAAGCACACACCAGGGGGUGCUGUGAGACUUCAGGCUCUUCCACUGGAGGAAGCUCCCUGAUGAGCCAAGGUGGAUCAGAUGCCACAGUGACCUAGGAAGAUUUGACAGUAUAUUUGAAUGUGGUUUAAAGAAAAGGCAAGGAUGCAUUUUAAGAAAUAGUAUGUUCUUUUGUAUAGAACACAGGGUGGCUGCCAUGGUGAUAGAAAGUUAGACUGGAGUGUUGUGGAGGGGAGGAAAGAUACAGACAGAGAGGAUUAGGUGCUCAAUACAUUUGCCUGAUUUUCUCUCUGCUUUUAAACACAGACAUUGAGCAUGUAAUCUAGAGCAGUCAAGCUUUAUGACAGAUUAUGUCGGAUGGUGGCUUUUCCUCUAUUCCUCAAAUUACAUUGAAUCUUUCAUGUAGUGAUCAAUUAAAUAUAUUUUAGGCCUUAUAUAGCCCUAGAUACCUAUUAAGACCUUUUUCUCUCAAGAUGAUGACAUGUCAUAAUACUGGUUUUUGUCUACCUAAUUUUCUUGCUGUGAGUUCCUUGUCUACAUGUUAAUACCAAACAGGCAACAAACUCCUCACUGUAGUUUAUAAGCUAUAGGUACAGUGCAGAUGUUUCCUGUAGAUCUCUAAGACCAUUUCUGUUCUAAAUGGUCAACUGAGACUUUAAUGCAGAAUAGGAAAAUAUACAAGUACCCCAAUGAAAACAGCAAAGUCUUUAAAAGGGUACUCUGUGUUUUGCUGACUGGAUGAAAUAGGUAGAUUUAUCACUUUCUGAUUUCCUUGGAUAUGAGCUCUACAGAUGCUGCCAGUGAGUUAACAGCCCGUGAUUUGACCACAUUACCUGGGGCAAGUUGGUCUUGUCCUUUCCCUUCUUCAGGAUCACUUUGAUUCUCCACAAAUAUAUAAAAGAAGGCCAAUGACAUAGCCUCUAUCCCACUUCACAUUUGCCCAGUCCUGUGUCUAAGCCUUGCACAGGGGCAUGAGCCUAUUCAGUGUAAUAAAGGAUGUGUGAGAAACUCCCCCAAGCUUCAGGCUGACACUUGUUAGAAGUCACUGGAUUUCCUGGCCUGUGCCAUGGGGCAAAUGACCCUGAUAGGACAGAUGAUCAUCACCAUGUCCUCUGUCCUGAGUCUGAGCAAACAGAUCUCACUCACCAAGGCCUUUGGGAAUUGAUUUCUAGGAGUGUUGCUGCAAUACUGACUUUCCCAUCUGAUAUCGUAUUUAAUCAUGGUAGAGGAAUUGAACCGCAAGACUGGAUGAAUUCUGUAACCCCUUUCAUAAAUCAGUCUAUGCUGUUAGAAAUAAACAUUGGGCAUUCAUUAUGUGGGGAAGUUACAGGGCCCAUCCAUAAUUCUUGGAAACAUAGAAGGAAGAAAAAUAUAGAAGUAUUUAUGUCUUGGUUUUGAAAUGAUGGCUUAGCUAAGACAAGCCACCUUAGAGGAGAUAAAGAGUCAGGUUGAAAGCAAUGAAACCAGGCUCAUAACAUGGCUAACACAGAGGGAAGGUUGCCAAAAGCUUUGAACUGGCAUAGAACUCCAGGUACACUGUUUUAGAACAAAAAUUAUGUCAUUGCAGGUGACAAGAGACAUUGUUUCUGAGCUAGAAAGUCUGAAAGGCACUUCCCAUACAGGUCCAACAAAGUGUAUAUGAGUUUGUCGGGGUCCAGUGAGAAAAGGCAGUAUGUGAAGAGCAGAGAGAAGCUCCUGGACUCACCUGAUGUCUGUUUAAUGUCCCCACCUGGUCCCUGAUUCACAAGAAUGUGUGUAUUCAGCGCCUGUGCUCAGAGGUGAGCCUCAUCAGCCCAGACAGAGGAAUGUGAGGCUGCCUGGGAGUGUGUGUACACUCCUUCUUGUGGGAAUCAGAAUGUUCACUGUCUACAUCCAGAACAGCGUGGGCUUCCUCUUCAUUGAGUGCACAUUCCAUGCUACUCUCAGGCUGGUAGCAGUCAUUUGGGGGUGAUCCAUGGCACGAGUGAAAGAACUUUGCUCCAGUGAAUUCUCUGGGAUGUCCUUUUCCUCUGCUUCUAGCAGCUCCCUGAGAGCCAGGUGGGAUAGGGAUGACAGAAAUUAAACCAAGAAAGAGUCCUGCUGGGUUUGAUGGGCUGCAUAAGGGUGUGGUCAUAGAUAGCACAGGGCAGUCCCCUCUAAGAGGGAACAAGCAGUCCUCUCUGGAACACAGUGUGGCUACCAUAGGAGGAGAGGAUGCCAGAGAGAAAGAGAGCAGCGGGUGCUCAUUGCACUGGACAGCAGCUGCUGGGGAGCAGCUGCGUGGUAGUCCCAUGGCAUGAGCACACGUGGACGGCCGCCCCACUGACACCGUGUGCUGAGCUUAAGUUGAGCGUAGCGUACUGCAGCCCUGGGAGUAAAGUUCUAGAGACCUUGCAGAUGUGGUGCCUCUGGGCCCUCUCUUAAUACUGUGACAUAAAACAAAACACAUGCAACCAGAAACCAUUAUGCUUAUGGAAAUAAGCCAGUCCCAAAAGAACAAAUGUCAUACGUUUUCUCUGAUAUGUGGUAGUUGAUAUAGAAAACAAAACAACAACAACAACAACAACAAAAAUGCAUAGGGAUGAAAUAGACAUCUUGUGAUCUGAUUGUUGUUUUUGACCCUUGUUAAUACUCCUGUGGAACUAUGGUCUUUCUACUUUUUACUUGUUGAAUAUUAUGGCUAAUGAUAAAUUAAGCCUGUGAUUAUGGAGUGGAUUGAAGUCAUGUUUUUGCCAAAAUUUAAGAAAAACAAGGAAUUGACAGAGGGAAAGAUGAAGGGAGGGAAGUAUGGUUCUCUUCUUAGAAUUGUACCCAUGAAAUACAUUAAGUCUGUUCUCUUAUGUUAAUAAAAAUGUUUUUAAAAUGUGACGUGAGACAUAAACAUGCUUUUGUCUAGGUGCUUCUUUUUUGAAGUUGCAACUUAGCCAGAUACUCCCUAACUGCUCCCUUUGCCUGCUCCCUCUUUGCUGGUUAUGCUCGCUAACAAGGACCUAAAGAGAACUGUGUAGGAAGCAGAUACGCAUCUUCCUCUGGUUUGCAUUACAGGAGAGAACAGGGGUUCUCUUUUUGUGAAGGAAAUACUCAAGGCUGGUGAGUUGAUUUUGGCUCAGAUUAACAAAUAGGACAAAGACAACAGACAGCUGUUUUAGCAGAGCUAUUUCAGGUUCCGAGCAAAUUACAUCAGCACAAUCUGCAGUUUUGUUUAUGCUUUGCAUCUGAAAUCUGUGGCUGCCUUGGUCCCCUUUCUGUUCUUUUUGAGAUCCUUUUCCUUAUUUACCUGUUCAUUCCCAAUGCUUAAUCAUUCACUGUUACCUGUCGGCAGCAGUUUCUUAUUCUCGUUUUUCCUCAUUUUCAUUAUUUCUGGAAAUUCAGAAAUGUCCACUCACUCACAACAAACCCAGUGAUCUAUAUGUACAGAGACACGAACAUCUGUGUAGGGUCAGCAUUACACCAAAGUUUCCCAUUUGCUGUCUUUAAACAAAUGCCUUGCCAUGCUUUUCUGAUCCAUCAGCACUGUGUCUCUGAUCAGGGAGAUGACAAUCAUGGCAGGGUCAGCCUGCAACAAGGCAAAAUCCUCAUAUCACUGGUAGUUUAUCAAAGCUUCCCAUGGACUUCUGUGUCUGCAUCCCCCGCCCCCGCCGGUGUGAUCCCCAUGCACAGGUUCUAUAUUCCCACGGCCUCACAGAUAAUCUGCUCCUUUUGAGAUAGGCAGGCAGAUAGAAUAAAACCUAUUAGGUCUAUAAGCUGGAGACCAUACCCUCCACCAUGCCCACUGUGUGAUCUCACGCCCCUACUUGAUCUCACCUGCCCAUCAGACUAUGCAACCACUCCCCCCUUGGAAAGCAUAUAAAAGGCGAAGAGUGCCCCCAAAUCACUCUACCUUUGCCUCACUACCCAUGCUAAGCUACUUGUGGCUGCUCAUAACCAAAUUCUUCUGUACAUGGCUCCUGACCUGUUCUCUGCUUUGUAUGGAUCCCAACUUAGUCUCUAGACUUUUCUUUCUCCAUUAGAUAAAUCCCUCAUUCUCCUAUGCAUUUCUUUCACUGAAUAAAAUCCUUAAAAACUUACCAUGUUGGCUAUUUGAGCCAGUAUUCAGAAUUCUCUGAAUACAUGGCAAGAAGCCACACAGCUUAUUAAUUUGGGGAAAUAUUAAUAAGCAGGUCGGUUUCACUUUCAUUAAGAUGAUAGACAAUGAUGACUCUCAUCCCUCCAUAUAUACACAGGCCCUUCAAGUUGGCUUCGUUUAUGUUAUCAAAAGAAAUUCUUUCCCUAGAAAGGGGUCUAAGCAACUUUCCUAACACAAGUUCUGCUCAUUCCAGUACCUGAUGUGACACCACCCAGUGAGGGGAGUGACUUGAUCCUAUUAUGAAACACACAAGUGACAGCUCCCACAUAUCACUGCCAUAUCCACUAUGCAACUGUAGAAUCAGAAUCAAAAUGGAGUGAGUGUGGCUAAAAGCUAAUUGCAGACCUCUUGCUUCUGUACAUAUCAGCUUUGCUUGCUAACAGCUAAGGGUGUAUCUUGUGAAACUACGUGGGCCCAAAUUCCCAGGAACUAGGUUGACCGAAAUGUGUCCUUCACUGUUAUCUUACAACCAUAUCUUGGAUCUGUUAUUGGGUUUGUUAUUGUUAACUGUUGUCUUACAACAAUAUUCUGGUUUUCUUUUUAUUGUUCAUUGCAUACCAGGGGUCCGGUUCAAAAUUGUGAGCCCUAGUGGACAGAAUACUAUAACAAGCCGUGUAACCUGCUGUUGGGGGCCACACCCUGGUAAGGAGUGUUGGUCCCGAUCGAUUGCUGAUCCUGAUCAGUUGCUUUGCCUGUCAUUUGCCUCUCAUUUUCAAUAAAAUUCAUGUGUGACUGUCA